RNAcentral lists this ribosomal RNA (1159 nucleotides) under Weissella confusa. Its description in RNAcentral is "bacterial SSU rRNA". It matches the Rfam family "Bacterial small subunit ribosomal RNA", at positions 30 to 1154 of the family's 1533-position model. The record is from RNAcentral. Lineage: Bacteria; Bacillati; Bacillota; Bacilli; Lactobacillales; Lactobacillaceae.
AAAACGUAAUGGCGGGGGUGCCUAUACAUGCAAGUCGAACGCUUUGUGGUUCAACUGAUUUGAAGAGCUUGCUCAGAUAUGACGAUGGACAUUGCAAAGAGUGGCGAACGGGUGAGUAACACGUGGGAAACCUACCUCUUAGCAGGGGAUAACAUUUGGAAACAGAUGCUAAUACCGUAUAACAAUGACAACCGCAUGGUUGUUAUUUAAAAGAUGGUUCUGCUAUCACUAAGAGAUGGUCCCGCGGUGCAUUAGCUAGUUGGUAAGGUAAUGGCUUACCAAGGCGAUGAUGCAUAGCCGAGUUGAGAGACUGAUCGGCCACAAUGGGACUGAGACACGGCCCAUACUCCUACGGGAGGCAGCAGUAGGGAAUCUUCCACAAUGGGCGAAAGCCUGAUGGAGCAACGCCGCGUGUGUGAUGAAGGGUUUCGGCUCGUAAAACACUGUUGUAAGAGAAGAAUGACAUUGAGAGUAACUGUUCAAUGUGUGACGGUAUCUUACCAGAAAGGAACGGCUAAAUACGUGCCAGCAGCCGCGGUAAUACGUAUGUUCCAAGCGUUAUCCGGAUUUAUUGGGCGUAAAGCGAGCGCAGACGGUUAUUUAAGUCUGAAGUGAAAGCCCUCAGCUCAACUGAGGAAUUGCUUUGGAAACUGGAUGACUUGAGUGCAGUAGAGGAAAGUGGAACUCCAUGUGUAGCGGUGAAAUGCGUAGAUAUAUGGAAGAACACCAGUGGCGAAGGCGGCUUUCUGGACUGUAACUGACGUUGAGGCUCGAAAGUGUGGGUAGCAAACAGGAUUAGAUACCCUGGUAGUCCACACCGUAAACGAUGAGUGCUAGGUGUUUGAGGGUUUCCGCCCUUAAGUGCCGCAGCUAACGCAUUAAGCACUCCGCCUGGGGAGUACGACCGCAAGGUUGAAACUCAAAGGAAUUGACGGGGACCCGCACAAGCGGUGGAGCAUGUGGUUUAAUUCGAAGCAACGCGAAGAACCUUACCAGGUCUUGACAUCCCUUGACAACUCCAGAGAUGGAGUGUUCCCUUCGGGGACAGUGACAGGUGUGCAUGAUGUCGUCAGCUCGUGUCGUGAGAUGUGGGUAGUCCGCACGAGCGCAUCUUAUUACUAGUUGCCAGCAUUCAGUUGGCACUUCUAGUGGAGAACUG